This 880-nucleotide ribosomal RNA is filed under the name Alteromonas sp. RNAcentral describes it as "bacterial SSU rRNA". It matches the Rfam family "Bacterial small subunit ribosomal RNA", at positions 55 to 932 of the family's 1533-position model. The record is from RNAcentral. Lineage: Bacteria; Pseudomonadati; Pseudomonadota; Gammaproteobacteria; Alteromonadales; Alteromonadaceae.
CUGCCAGUCGAACGGAAACAUGUCUAGCUUGCUAGAUGAUGUCGAGUGGCGGACGGGUGAGUAAUGCUUGGGAACUUGCCUUUGCGAGGGGGAUAACAGUUGGAAACGACUGCUAAUACCGCAUAAUGUCUACGGACCAAACAGGGCUUCGGCUCUGGCGCAAAGAGAGGCCCAAGUGAGAUUAGCUAGUUGGUGAGGUAAAGGCUCACCAAGGCAACGAUCUCUAGCUGUUCUGAGAGGAAGAUCAGCCACACUGGGACUGAGACACGGCCCAGACUCCUACGGGAGGCAGCAGUGGGGAAUAUUGCACAAUGGGGGAAACCCUGAUGCAGCCAUGCCGCGUGUGUGAAGAAGGCCUUCGGGUUGUAAAGCACUUUCAGUUGUGAGGAAAAGUUAGUAGUUAAUACCUGCUAGCCGUGACGUUAACAACAGAAGAAGCACCGGCUAACUCCGUGCCAGCAGCCGCGGUAAUACGGAGGGUGCGAGCGUUAAUCGGAAUUACUGGGCGUAAAGCGCACGCAGGCGGUUUGUUAAGCUAGAUGUGAAAGCCCCGGGCUCAACCUGGGACGGUCAUUUAGAACUGGCAGACUAGAGUCUUGGAGAGGGGAGUGGAAUUCCAGGUGUAGCGGUGAAAUGCGUAGAUAUCUGGAGGAACAUCAGUGGCGAAGGCGACUCCCUGGCCAAAGACUGACGCUCAUGUGCGAAAGUGUGGGUAGCGAACAGGAUUAGAUACCCUGGUAGUCCACACCGUAAACGCUGUCUACUAGCUGUUUGUGACUUUAAGUCGUGAGUAGCGAAGCUAACGCGAUAAGUAGACCGCCUGGGGAGUACGGCCGCAAGGUUAAAACUCAAAUGAAUUGACGGGGGCCCGCACAAGCGG